This 397-nucleotide ribosomal RNA is filed under the name uncultured bacterium. RNAcentral describes it as "partial 16S ribosomal RNA". It matches the Rfam family "Bacterial small subunit ribosomal RNA", at positions 523 to 918 of the family's 1533-position model. The record is from RNAcentral.
AUACGUAGGUGACAAGCGUUAUCCGGAUUUACUGGGCGUAAAGGGCGUGUAGGCGGUCUUGCAAGUCAGAAGUGAAAUUCCUGAGCUCAACUCGGGCGCUGCUUCUGAAACUGCAGGACUUGAGUGCUGGAGGGGAUAGCGGAAUUCCUAGUGGAGCGGUAAAAUGCGCAGAUAUUAGGAAGAACACCGGUGGCGAAGGCGGCUAACUGGACAGUAACUGACGCUGAGGCGCGAAAGCGUGGGGAGCGAACAGGAUUAGAUACCCUGGUAGUCCACGCGGUAAACGAUGAAUGCUAGGUGUUGCGGGUAUCGACCCCUGCAGUGCCGGAGUAAACACAAUAAGCAUUCCGCCUGGGGAGUACGGCCGCAAGGUUGAAACUCAAAGGAAUUGACGGGG